GGGCUAAGUGGUCAACAGGUGGUGGUGGUGGUAGUGGGUUGUUGUUGUUGUUGUUCCCCUGAUUCUGAUUUUGGACUAGCAACUGCAUCAAUGUGUUCUGCUGCUGGAUCAACUGGGUGAGCUCCGGUGGAAAGGAAAAUCCGGGGUCACGUCUCGGAGGCAUCUGAGGGUUUAGAAAAGAUGAGAUAUAAGAAUAGAGGGGGUCUAAAGAAGAAACACUACCCAUAUGCACAUGAGGCAAAAGCAACCAAUUCACUUCAUUCAAACAAACAAAGGCAUACAAUCGAUCUAACUAUCGCAAAGUGCUCGGACUACUAUAUUUACAUGGUGGACUACUACUACUGAUGAGGUGGUCUACUAGAAAUAUUCUACGGUUGUAGACUCCAUGAUAUCUGCUCCUACUUCAUCAACAUAGUCAUCAUCGCUACUAUCUGCUUCCGAGUCGGUGCCGUCGAUGAUGAUGUAGUCUUCCAGGCUAAUCUCCUUGGGUUCUUCGUCUUCAUCUACUGGUGUCGGGCCUCCCAUAAAUACUGCUAGCUUCAUAGUUAGGUCGGCAUUCUUAUCCACCAAUACUUCUAUUUCUUCUUCAUAACCUUCAGGUGUAGCCUUGAGUUCUUCCUCCAGUUCAUUGAUUCUAGUCUUAGCCUUCUUCAGAUCUAUCAUGUCGGCACACAUCUGAUUCUCCUGUCGUCGAAUGUGCUGGUUGAACUCCUAGAUAAAAGCUGCAAUUGAUCUAUCCUUCCUGGUGCUAAUCAUCUCCCAAUGUUCAUCUCGGCGCCCACAAAUCUGGUAGAUAGUAUCCUUGAGAUCCUUGCGGAAGACUUCUCCAAUGCGUCCCAUGGCGAUGUGAGCUGCCAUACUCUUUCCUAGACUCCAAGUUGGUGCGUCAAAAUAAAACUCUAUGGGUUUAGUGACUGGCAUGAACGUCCUUCCUGGAACUUGAACUUGAAUCAUGCAGCGCUCUUCUUCAGGUAAAGUGGCAUUGUAGGUUCCCGUGAAGCUUGGUACUCAUAUGUUCAGGUAUCUAGUGACUUCCUUCAAGUGGCGUCCAAAGGGUGUAUCUUCGUCCGGUUGGGUGAACUUGUUCCUUGCAUCCGCCAUCCUAAAGAGUAGAAAAGAUGAGAAGUCAGAAGAGAAGAGAGUGAGUAGUGAUCUAGGUCUUUAGCUUAGGGUCGUGUCCUACAGUCACCGUGUGCUCUGAUACCAUCUCUGUAGCGACCAGACCUCAAACAGUCUGAUCUCUGUGCUCCGGUGUCAUCCCUGGAUCAGUAAUGCUGACACCACACAAUACUCGGAGGAUUUAUAGCAGAGUAGCAAUCACACACUUAUUACAUUGAGUGUCUCAAAAGAGAAAUUAUUACAAUGAAUAUGGCUUAAGGCCAUCUAAUAACGAUAACAUCGGAAGGCUUGGAAGAUAAGUGAGUCCAUCAACUCCAACAGCAUCACUGAGUAUAGAACCACGACCUAAAACUCCUUAAUCGUCGUCUGAAAAGUGUGCAACAUUAACGUUGCAGCCCGAAAACGGGUCAUCACAUGGAAUAUGCUGGCAAGGUAACACAUAGAGAGUAAUGGAAUGAAACAGCUAUUCUAUAUGCAUAUUUGGCUGGUGGAAAGCUCUAUGGUUACAGUCUUUUUUUUGCGUAAAGCCAAUUUUUCCCUACUUCAAAGCAAUAAAUUUCAUUUAACUAUCAGGGUGGUUGUUAAACAUUGAGAAUGGUUGACAGCAUUCUCAAUCCCAAUUAAAUAACAUCAUUAAACCCAACAAAAUUUAUUUAAAGUAACAUGUUGAGAUUCACAUGAUAAUCCAGGUACUAGAUACUCAAGAUGUCCAUAACCGGGGACACGGCUAACCAUGAUUUGUUUGUUACACUCUGCAGAGGUUUGCGCACUUUUCCCCACAAGACUCGAUCGCCUCCGUUGGAUUUCUCGCACUACAUGGUGUUUGAGAAACGGAUGACCGAGACACAGUCUUUCAGAAGCACUAGCACCUUACGAUGGAUAGACCGGUACACCUACUUUCCCCUACAUCUGCUAGUCUACCCUGUAAGAGUUCGCACGACUUACUCAACUAUGCCAGAGCCCAUAAUGGCUUGUGGCUACACACGGAAGUUUCUAGUAUGAAUAAUCUCAUGAUCCCUUUGAGCUUGGGUGGCGGUCCAAAAGAAAAACAGGCAAGUCCUGGAAUACCCAGGUGCCUCAGUCCACCCAGAUGUGUGUUUAAGUUGCCACCUUAGAUAAACCCUUAAUUAUCAAUCUCACAUCUGUCAUGGACAUCACUCACCUAAUCCACGUCUACUAGCAUAGCAUGGCAUAAUAAGCAAACGCAGAAGUAACUCCCAAAGGUUUGACAAUAAACAGGUAAUAGGUACUACCUCAUCUACUUCCCAUCCCACAGUUUAAUUAGAUCCUAAUCAUGCAAUGUGUGAGGAUUGAUCUAAUGCAAGAAAAACUGGGUUGUAUAAAAGGUAUGAUCAAAGUGUUACUUGCCUUGCUGAUGAUCCGCGAAACCUAGCGAUUCGAAGAAACAGGCGGCACACUCCGGGUACUCUAUCGCAGACAAACAAACAAGCAUACAAUAAGUACUCAUCUAAUGCACAGGUAAAACUCAAAUAAGAGAUUUAACCAGAAGGUUCAACUUAAGAACUCCGGUUGGAAAAAGAAAUCAAUCGAACGAAGCAAAGAAAGUCAAACGGCGAAAGAAAACAACUUUGUUCUAGUAAUCUGAAUCUAAUUCAAAUUUUACAGUAGCAAAAACUUGUUUGAGUUGAUUAUUCGAAUAGAGGGUUUCGAGACGAAACUCGAGGCGCUUGAAUCGCCUGAUUCCGAUAAACGAGCGAAAAGAUAAACUGAAAUGAAAAUCAGAUCAGGAAUCGCGAUCAGAAAAAUCGCGGAUUUAAUCCGACGAAAAAGGAAAACGACGAACGGAUUUUUUUUAAAUGGCACGGAAAACGAGGCGGCGGCGAACCUCGGGCGGCGCGCGGCUCCGGCGGGGCGGCGGCGGCAGCUGGGCUGGGGCGCUAGGGUUAUGGGGCUGGGGCGGCUGGGCUCUCGGGCCCCGGGGCGGCGCCUUAUAAAGGCCUCGGCCAGGCGGAGUCCUGGCCGAGUACGGCCCAAAGACGGUUCCUUUUUUUUAUGCUCGGAAGAAAAAUAAAAAGAAAUACUAAACGGACUCCAAAAAUCCUGAAAUAAAUUUUACCGGGCUUCUAGAAUCAAGCCCGACAAAGUGAACAUUUAUUUGGGACCUAAAUGCAAUUUUGAAAAAUGCGCAUUUUUCCUAAAUUCAAAUAAAAAUAUCAAAAAAACUCCGAAAUUUUUUAUUAGACCUUCAAUAUUUCUAUAUUUUGGGAAAGUCAUUUUAGUCCCUCUCGCAUAUUUUUGUAAUAGAAAUAAUUGAUGAUAAAAUAAAUAAAAUCAAAUGAUCCUAUGCUCAAAAUUUGAGAAAACUCAAAUGUGAGAAUAACGAAAUCCCCAACUCUCUCCGUGGGUCCUUGAGUUGCUUAGAAUUUUCUAGGAUCAAAACCCAAAAGCAAAUAAAAUAUGAUAUGCAUGAUGAUCUAAUGUAUAACAUUCCAAAUUGGAAUUUUGGGAUGUUACAGUUACCAAAGAUUGGUUUGAUGAAAACCACAAGGGAGCGAAAACCAUGAAAAUAGAUAGGUGGAGGGUGUAAGGUUGGACAAAGGGAUGGUGAGGAGAAAAUUAAGUGAAAGAUAUAACCUUAGAUUCUUUUCAAGUAGUGGAGAUUUUUCAGCCCUUUCUUAAAUUGGUAAAUAAGUAUGUGCCCAUGAUUAAUCUACUUUAUUGGGUUACCAAAUGAUUGGAUUGAUCUAGUUUAUUGGGUUACCAAAGAUUGGUUGGAUGAAACAUGAAAAAGAGGAAAAAAUCGAUGGAGGGUGGAAGGUUGGAGGAGGGAUGGUUGGGGAGAAAACUGAGUGAAAAUGGAUCCUUAGGUUCUUUUUAAGCAGUGGAGAUAGAGAUAAACAACUUUUUGUUACAAAAGCAUGGAGUGCACAAUAAAUAUAAAAAGGGGGACAUAUGUGGUUGUGAAAAAAGCAACAUACUAAGUGAUGACUCACAAGUAUAGGGGAUCGUGAUAUUCUUCGAGGGAAGUAUUCCCAAAUUUAUUGAUUAGUAGGGGAUUCAAAGAAUAUUUGUAAGCUUUAGUAGUUGAGUUGCCAAUUCCUGGAAAGAUAACUUUCUUACAACGAUUUAUUAGUACUCCCUCUGUUCCUAAAUAUUUGUCUUUCUAGAGAUUUCAACAACUGACUACAUACAGAUUAAAAUGAGUUUACCUACACUCUAAAAUAUGUCCAUAUACAUCCGUAUGUGGUAGUCUAUUUGAAAUCUCUAAAAAGACAAAUAUUUAGGAACGGAGGGAGUAGUAUAGCAAUAUGAUAGUAAUAGUGAUACUAACAGCAACAGUAAUAGUAACAAGUUUGCAAAGCAGUAACAAAGUGCAGUAGUAGUGAUUUUAGCGAAAACAAUAAUAGCAAAAGCAUAGUCAUGAAGUAACACUAAAAAAAUACACUUUCGUGAUGAUACGUGUUUGUCACGGUAGGUCACGUUUUCUGUCAUGCAUGUACAUCCAUGACAAAUUUAUGACAGAAUCAAGAUAGUCAUACCUGAGCUGUCGUAGAAGUGUUCCAUGACAUUACCAAAAUUAUCAUCACGGAAGUGUCCACUUCCAUGACGGUAAAUCGCGCAUCACAGAAGUGCUUUCGUCAAGGGUGACCGACACGUGGCAUCCACCAUAACAGAACAUCGAUAACCCGUUAACAACCCAGACCAAUGGGAUUUUCCAUGUGUAAAAUCAUCAUUGGCUGGAGGAAACACCUGUCGGCUCACCGUUGGGACAGAUGUCAUUCACUUAUUGGACCCAAAGCGCCUAUGAUACUCGACAUGUGGCACGGCCCAACAGAGGCCGAUUCCUGUGAAAAGGCCGGUCCGCUUGACUUGGUCAAAAGGUUGAGGGCCGGCCCACGGCAAGCCCGUUAAUGGCCUAUUCGCAUAUAGCCCAUUUACAUCCCGCUAACCCAGGGCCCGUUUACGGCCUAUCCGAAUUAGGCCCAGUAGCAUCAUAUGGGCUGUCCAAUAUAAUUCCGGCCCGUUUUAACUUCCGGCCCAUGUAUGGCCCAUGAUGUCUUUUGGCCCAUAUGAGGCCCUUAGUAACCCUCGGCCCAUUAAUGGUCCAUGGUAAAACUGGCCUGUAAUGAACAGUGUAUCACUUUAUACCCAUUAACGACCCAUUAUUCCGUUGGGCCAUUUCCAGUCCAUGUUGUCUUUCGGCCUUCUCAGGGCCCAUUUAUUCUUGGGCUCAUUUCCGGCAUUCGUUUACUUUCGGCCCGUUACUGUCAUUUUCUGCUUGUGGGCCAAAUACAGCCCGUGGUUAUAGUUGGUCUGUUUGUGGCCCGUUAAUACGUUGGGCCAUUUUCAUAGCGUCAUUAAAUACAGCCUAUUAACGACGGCCCGUUAUGGUCGGCCCAUGAACAAAUGACUUCAACUCUAGCCCAUUUACGACCAUAAUGUGGUCUGUUAUUGGCCCAUGUUUGGCCAACCGAUCAUACGGCCCAUAGAAGGCCCAUUGAUGAUACGGCUCGUAGAAGGCCUAUUGUGUAUACGCCCUGUAGAAGGCCCAUUGUUCCUACGGCCCGUAGGAGGCCCAUGUUAACUACAGUAAAUAUGUAGCCCAUUGUUAAUGUGGCCUAGUUUUUAAAAAAUAGGUUAUUGCAGCCACUAGCAAACCGCGGAAAAGAACUGCACUGACUACAAGAAAACAAAUAAACAAGACAACGGAAAUAAAUAAGCAAGCAACUUACGCUAGGCUAUCAUGGCUAUUACACAUAUUACAUCCACUGGGCAUCAAAGUUCACCACAAGUGCAAAUAUAGGGAACAAAGCAGCAUAUAAACGCCGCAAAAAAACAAGUCCAGAACUGAAACCACUUCAGAAGAGCUCAAGAAACAAUAUCAUGGGCACCCAUAAUGCUGGCAAGAUGCUUAGCAAGCUUAUUAACUUUCUCUUGUUUGGUGCUUAAAUCCUCCAGCACUUGCUAUUGCACCAGAAAGUAAAUCUGAAUUCUGCAGGGACUUCCUCAGUCCUUCGGCUUCCUGUCGCAUAACAUCUGAUCGAUGUCUUUUAACUUGAAGUUGAGACUCAAGAAGCCGAACUGAUUCAGGCAGCGAGUUCGAAGAGCUGGUGCCAGCAGUAGUAGCCAGUAACUCGAACACUACAUCAAGACAGGACUUUGGGGUUGUCUCAGUGUCUUCAAUAUAGUUUUUAUCAACUUUCUUGGAGAACCACGGGGAUGUCUCACUAUCUUGAACCUGAUUUGCAUUAAUUCCUUUACCAUUGCAUAACGGGGGUACUCUUCUCCAAUAUUUUAUCCGCGUUCUAAAGGAGAAACACACAAACACAUCACAGGUUUACAAUGAAGUAUAUGAAACUCAUUUUGGUAAACCAGUUCAGUAGUAAGGUGGACAGGAUAACAUCAUGAAACAAACAUAUAUCUAUGUAAUAUGAUCACUGUAUGGUCUAUAUCAUUCUAGUUUAUGUUGCCAAAUCAAGAUAGAUAUAGUUCGAAUCAUAUCUAUUUAAGACAAAGUAGCAUAGAAAGAAUAUAAGUGUGGGAAACUACACAGCAAUAACAACACUUGUAAUGUGCAUUGCGUGAGAACAUAACUGUUUAUUCAAUUGAAACUGAAAUCAACAUAGAGCAAGUUACAACAGCAAACACGUUAAAGAAACAGGUUUAAAACAUACCUGUUGCGCCAUUGGAGUUUCAAUUGCAUCCUUCAAAUUUGAAAUUAGUUGGUAUGAGUAGAUACAGUGAUGCAAGAGCAAAGUAGUAUGAACCAUAGCUAGGGAACCUGACCUGAGAACAAUUCUUCUUCUACUUUAAGCGUUGACUUGGGGUUCGGAGUUGUGGUCCUCGUGCUUUGGGCACUACAGUUGCCUUACUAACUACUCAUGUUUGGGUGCUCUGUGGUGGAGACGGUGCUGUGUCAAUGGGAACUGGGUUACUAUCUCCUGGGGUUGGGGUUAGAAGGGGUGUAGCUCGUUCUCUUUCGAACUAGGUAGGGGUACAAUCUGCGUGAGUCUGGGUUAUGUGUGGUGGGGCUGGUUCUUGGGCAAGUACAAAUGUGGUUCUAUCGCCAUCAACAGGUAGCACGAUCUUUUCUAAAGACCGUGUUUUUUACUCCCACAGAUACUGCCAUCACCCCAUCCAAUUGAAAUGGCUGAUAAAGAAGAAAAGUAAUUGAAUGUACAGACAUUGUAAGAUAGACAGGUGCAAUGGAUACUAGGGAAGAAAACAGGGCAUGAAAUAAUUCAUAUUUAUGUUGUCUAACCAAACAGAAUAGCAAGACAUAAUUUCAAAUAUAUGAUGGCUAAUUAAACAGGAUAGCAUCACACAAUUUCGCAUGUAUGAUGGCUAACUAAACAGGAUAGAAUGACAUACUUCAAAAUAUGAUGACCAUGUAAAUAGGAUGACAUGAUAUAACUAUACGAUGUGUCUAUUAAAGUGGUUGGCAUGCCAUAAAUCACAAACAUGCCGUCGAUGGAAACAUGAUGGCAUGAUAUAAUUCAUGGAUAGAAUGACAUAAUUCAAAAUAUGAUGACUAUGUGAACAGGAUGAGAUGAUAUAACUAUAUUAUGUCUUUAGAAAAUGGGUUGGCAUGCCAUAAUUCAGAUACAUGCUGUCUAUGUAAACAUCAUUGCAUGAUAUAAUUCAAAUAUAUGAUUUAUAUACUAAGGAGUGAGCAGAGGGAAAUGGCAUAUAUGAUGUGUCAACUAAGGAGAUGGCAUUGAAUAUCGUGUAUAUGAUGUAAAAACUAAGCAUUGCAAUACAACAUAUGCAUGAUAUGAGUAAUAUAGCCCCGCCAAGUUUGAGCAUACACCUCAGGGGGAUAAUAGGACUGGUCAUCUGCCUCUGAAUCCUCCCGUGAAGAGCUAUCUAUAACCAGCAACAUAUCUACUUCACCAGGUAGCAUUCUCUGCUCUAAAGACCUUGUUUUCACUCCAGAUUUCUCCAUCACCAAUUCAAAUGGCUGAUGCACAGGAAGAGCAGUUGAAUAUACAAACAUUGUCAACAAAAGCAAUGAGAAAUACAAAAAAAGGAUGGCAUGAUAUAAUUCACACAUAUGACGCUUGGCUAAACAACAUGGCAUUGCAUAAUUCACAUAUAUAAUGCCUUGCAACAAGAUAGCAUUGCAUAAUUCACAUAUAUAAUGUCUUGCAAAAAUAUGGCAUGGCAUAAUUCACACAUAUGGUAACUAGACACUAAACAGGUGGCAUUCCCACAAAUCAUGUCUAAACUAACCAAAUGACAUAGCAAUGCAAGAUACCAUACACACGAUAUGAGCAACAUAACCCUGCCAAGUUAGAGCAUGCACCUCAAGAGGGGGGGGGGAUAGGACCGGUCAUUUUUCUCUGAAUCCUCCUCUGAGGAGCUAUUUGUAACUAGCAAGACAUGCGCUUCGUUGGAUAGCAUUGUCUUCUCUGAAGACCUUGUUUCCACACCAUAUUUUUCCAUGACCAUGCCGAAUGGCUAAUGCACAGGAAGAGUAAUUGGAUGUACUCAAAUUGUUGACAAAUUUAACACGUAAUAAAAAAUGAUGUCAUGAUAUAAUUCACAUAUAAGAUGACUGGCUAACAAGGGUGGCAUUGCAAAAUUCACAUAUAUGAUGCCUAGAUAAACAAGAUGGCAUUGCAUGAUUCCUAUAUACGAUCAAGAAACUAAACAGAUGGCAUUGACACAAAGCAUGUCUAAACUAAGCAGAUGACAUCUUUUAUGUAUACAGUAAGCAAUGCAAGGCACCAUAUGCAUGAUAUUACCAACAUCAGCAUGCCAAGUUAGAGCGAAGACCUCAUGGGGUAAAUAGGUGUGGUCUUCUACUUCUGAAUCCCCCUCAGAACAGUUAUCUUCCUCUUGAUUACGAUCCGAAAUGGGUGGAGGGGGGCUGCCUUUGCUCCCACCAUGGAGCGAUGUCUGCAUGAAAUGUUAUUGCCACGCAAGGCUCGUCUCUUUUUCUCUCCAUGUUCAGUUCCAUUGUGUACAAUAACUGACAUGCAUAGGAAUAAAAGAUAGUGAUUGUGGGAGUCCUGGAUUAGGGGGUCUCCGGACAGCCGGACUAUAUCCUUUGGCCGGACUGUUAGACUAUGAAGAUACAAGAUUGAAGACUUCGUCUCAUGUCCGGAUGGGAUUCUACUUGGCGUGGAAGGCAAGCUAGGCAAUACAGAUAUGUACAUCUCCUCCUUUGUAACCGACCUUGUGUAACCCUAGCCCUUUCCGGUGUCUAAAUAAACUGGAGGGUUUUAGACCGUAGGACAACAUACAAUCAUACCAUAGGCUAGCUUCUAGGGUUUAGCCUCUCCGAUCUCGUGGUCGAUCAACUCUUGUAAUACUCAUAUCAUUAAGAAUAAAUCAAGCAGGACGUAGGGUUUUACCUCCAUCAAGAGGGCCCGAACCUGGGUAAAACAUCGUGUCCCCUGCCUCCUGUUACCAUCGGCCUUAGACGCACAGUUCGGGACCCCCUACCUGAGAUCCGCCGGUUUUGACACCGACAUUGGUGCUUUCAUUGAGAGUUCCUCUGUGUCGUCGCCGUUAGGCUUGAUGACUCCUACGAUCAUCGAUAGCGAUGCAGUCUAGGGUGAGACUUUUCUCCCCGGACAGAUCUUUGUGUUCGGCGGCUUCGCACUGCGGGCCAACUCGCAUGGCCAUCUGGAGCAGAUCGAAAGUUACGCCCCUGGCCACCAGGUCAGGUUUGUAAGCUUAAACUACACGUCCGACAUCCGUGGAGACUGGAUCUUCGACGGAUUCGAGCCCCUAGCUUGUGUGCCGCGCAGUCAUGAUGAGUAUGAUUUAGCUCUAUCAUCGGACCGUAUUCAGGAGAUCGCACCGGCAGCCGCCCCGAGCCUCAAUUCGGAGCUAGUCGCGCUAUCCAUGGACGGGUGGAUGGACCACGUCAUGGAGGCCGUACCCUCAGGGGUGAUCGAGCCAAAUAUCGACCUUACCCUUCAUGAGAGCCGUGUCGCCAAACUACCGGAUCCUUCUCCGGCCACGGACUCUGAACCGCCUGCGCCCGUGCCUAUCGAAUCCGAUUGGGCGCCGAUCAUGGAGUUUACCUCCGCGGAUAUUUUCCAGCACUCGCCCUUCGGCGACAUACUGAACUCAUUAAGGUCUCUCUCCUUGUCAGGAGAAUCCUGGCCGAACUAUGUCCGGCAGGAUUAGGAUGCGGAUGACGAAGAAAUUCGCCGCCCACCCACCACCCACUUAGUAGCCACUGUCGAUGACCUAACCGACACGCUCGACUUCGACUCCGAAGACUUCGACGGUAUGGACGACGAUGCAGGAGUCAAAGAGGAACCACUGCUCAUAGGGCACUGGACGCCCACUUCAUCACAUGACGUAUACAUGGUGGACACACCCAAAGAAAAUAAUGACAAGGAACGGAAGGACGCAGCGACGAGUGGUUCCCUCGAGCAGCAGUCAAAGCGGCGGCGUAAAUGUCGCCCCAAAUCCUGCCCCGGCAGAAAUAACGAUCACAUAGACCCUGCAUUAGAGUAGGGUGAACAAUUGCCCGACCACGGUAACACGGAAAAUCAAGCCGAACAACCCAACCCCGUCGAAGAUAACAGUCCGGACGACAUCACACCAGACAUGCGCCAGGAGCAACGUAAUGCCCACCAAAGGCUUGUUGCCACGGCGAGGAGUCUGAAAAAAUAGAAGCAAAGGCUCAAGGAUGCACAAGACACACUCAAAAUAAAAUGGAAUGAAGUACUCAACACAGCAGCGAAGUACGACAGUAAUCGCCACACCAAGAGCUACCUGAAGCGGAAGUUGCUACCUGAAUUCGAUGAGGAGGCCUUAGAUCCCCUGCAACCAAAAAUUAAAAUGGCCAUCCGGCCGGAUAGACGACCUCACGGUCAACAUAAAGCGGCGAACAACGCCACACAUAAGGCAAUGCACGACCCACGCGAGGACUCGCAUCAAAAGGACGGCGCAACGAGAUCCAUUUAUGGACCACGCAAGCGCGCUCCAGCAUACGAUGCAAUACAACAAACAUCCGAACACCACGAUACACCCAGAUACAGGGGUGCCGCACACCCCCUAUGUUUCACCGAUGAGGUGCUGGACCAUGAAUUUCCAGAGAGAUUCAAACCCGUAAACAUAGAGGCAUACGACGGAACAACCAACCCUGGGGUCUGGAUUGAGGACUAUAUCCUCCAUAUCCAUAUGGCUCGAGGGGAUGAUCUCCACGCGAUCAAGUACUUACGCCUCAAGCUCAAAGGGCCAGCUCGGCACUGGCUUAAAAGCCUCCCCGAAAGCUCCAUUGGAAGCUGGGAAGAGCUCGAAGUACCAUCUCUGUAGCGACCAGACCCGAAUGGAUCAAGUCUACUGUGCUCCGGUGUCAUCCCUGGAUCAGUAAUGCUGACACCACACAGUACAUCGAAGGAUUUAUAGCAGAGUGGCAAUCACACACUUAUUACAUCGAUGUCUCCGAAGAGAACUUAUUACAACAAUAUGGCUUAAGGCCAUCUAAUAUCGAUAACAGUGGAAGACUUGGAAGAUAAAAGGGUCCAUCAACUCCAACGGCAUCACUGAAUAUAGAACCACGACCUAAAAGCACCUUAAUCGUCAUCUGAAAAGUCUGCAACAUUAAUGUUGCAGCCCGAAACGGGUCAGCACAUGGAAUAUGCUGGCAAUGUAACACAUAGAGAAUGAUGGAAUGAAACAGCUAUACUAUAUGCAUAUUUGGCUGGUGGAAAGCUCUAUGGUUACAGUUUUGCGUAAAGCCAGUUUCUCCCUACUGCAAAGGAAUAAAUUUACUAACUAUCAUGGUGGUUGUUAAACAUUGAGAAUGGUUGACAGCAUUCUCAAUCCCAAUUAAAAGUAAUCAUUAAUAACCCAACAAUAUUAAUUUAGAAGUAACAUGUUGAGAUUCACAUGAUAUUCAAGUACUAGAUACUCAAGUUGUCCAUAACCGGGGACACCGCUAAUCAUGAUUAGUUUAUUACAGUCUGCAGAGGUUUGCGCACUUUUCCCCACAAGACUCGAUCGCCUCCGUUGGAUUUCUCGCACUACUGGUGUUUGAGAAAUGGAUGACCGAGACAUAGUCUUUCAGAAGCGCUAGCACCUUACGAUGGAUAGACCGGUACACCUACUUUCCCCUACAUCUGCUAGUCUACCCUGUAAGAGUUCGCACGACUUAGUCAACUAUGCCAGAGCCCAUAUUGGCUUGUGGCUGCACACGUAAGUAUUUAGCAUGAAAGAUCUUAUGAUCCCUUUGAGCCUGGGUGGCGGUCCAAAAUAAAACAGGCAAGUCCAGAUAGACAUCACGUGCCUCAAUCCACCCAGAUGUGUGUUUAAGUUGCCACAUUAGAUAAACCCUUAAAAUUAUCACACUCACAUCUGUCAUGGAUAUCACUCACCCAAUCCACGUCUACUAGCAUAGCAUGGCAUAAUAAGCAAACGUAGAAGUAACUCCCAAAGGUUUCAUAAUAAACAGGUAAUAGGUACUACCUCAUCUACUUCCCAUCCCACAAUUUAAUUAGAUCCUAAUCAUGCAAUGUGUGAGGAUGGAUCUAAUGCAAUAAAACUGGGUUGUAGAAAAGGUAUGAUCAAAGUGUUACUUGCCUUGCUGAUGAUCCGCGAGUCCUAGAGAUUCGAAGUAACAGGCGGCGCAAUCCGGGUAAUCUAUCGCAGACAAACAACAAGCAUACAAAAGUACUCAUCUAAUGCAUAGGUAAAACUCGAACAAGAGAUCGAACCAGAUAGUUCAACUUAAGAACUCCGGUUGCAAAGAGAGAAAGAACCGAACAAAGAAACCGAAAACAAACGGCGGAAAACAACUCGGUUCUAGCAAGUUGAAACUAGGUCAAAUUUUACCAUAGCAAAAACUUGUUUAAGUUGAUUAGUCGGAACGGCGGUUUCGAAACGAAACUCCAGGCGCUUGAAUUACCUGAUUCCGAUAAACGAGCGAGAAGAUAGACUAGAACGAAGAUCGGAUCUGAGAUCGCGAUCGCGGAAUAAAUCCGACAAAAAGAAAAAGAAGAACGGUUAAACGAACGGACGUUCGUUAACCUAGAAUAAUCCGGUGAUCACGCUCGUUAAGACGAACAGUCCGGCAAACGGUCUCUAGGCAACUAAAUCAGAAAAGAAAACGAAUCUGAUCUAGGGUUUCGGAAGAAAACCGAACGAAAAACUGAUCUAGAAAACCGGAACGGUUUAGAGAAGAACCGGAAAGAAAACGAAUCAGACGAGAAGAAAAGAAUCGGAACGGUUUAUAAGAAAAGCCGAACCGAGGGGAUAGAAGAGAUGCGGCGCGGCUACCUCGGCGAGGUUCCGGCGAGGGGCUCCGGCGGCGGCGAGCAAGGGCGGCGGCGGNNNNNNNNNNNNNNNNNNNNNNNNNNNNNNNNNNNNNNNNNNNNNNNNNNNNNNNNNNNNNNNNNNNNNNNNNNNNNNNNNNNNNNNNNNNNNNNNNNNNNNNNNNNNNNNNNNNNNNNNNNNNNNNNNNNNNNNNNNNNNNNNNNNNNNNNNNNNNNNNNNNNNNNNNNNNNNNNNNNNNNNNNNNNNNNNNNNNNNNNNNNNNNNNNNNNNNNNNNNNNNNNNNNNNNNNNNNNNNNNNNNNNNNNNNNNNNNNNNNNNNNNNNNNNNNNNNNNNNNNNNNNNNNNNNNNNNNNNNNNNNNNNNNNNNNNNNNNNNNNNNNNNNNNNNNNNNNNNNNNNNNNNNNNNNNNNNNNNNNNNNNNNNNNNNNNNNNNNNNNNNNNNNNNNNNNNNNNNNNNNNNNNNNNNNNNNNNNNNNNNNNNNNNNNNNNNNNNNNNNNNNNNNNNNNNNNNNNNNNNNNNNNGGUGAGGGGGAGGGUUUGCUUGGGGGAGGGGGCAAGAAAUAAGAGAAGGAGAAGGAAAGAGGAAACGGAGUCCAAGAAGGACUCUAGGGCGGCGGCGGCCUUGGGCGCCUGCGCGGCUGCGCGCGCGCGAUGGGGAGGAGCCGGCCUGGCCGGCGGCUUGGGCCUUGGCCCAGGCGCUGCGGGAUUUUUUUAAACGGUUACGCGCGUAGAAAAACAAAAGAAAAGAGAACUAAACGAACUCCAAAACUUCUAAAGUAAAUUUUCCCCGACUCCUAAAAAUGAGUCGAACAAAAUGAACUUUUCUCCGGGCCUAAAAUGCAAAUUUUGAAAACGCUCAUUUUCCCUAUCCAAAUAAAAGGCAAAUGAAACUCCGACAAAAACCAAUGAUGCUCUUUUCGAAAUUUGAGAAAAACACAAAUAUGAAAAUAACGAAAUCUCCAACUCUCUCCGAGGGUCCUUGAGUUGCGUGAAAUUUGUAGGAUCGACCAAAAUGCAAGAAAAUAUGAUAUGCAAGAUGAUCUAAUGUAUAACAUUCCAAAUUGAAAAUUUGGGAUGUUACAAACCUAACCCCCUUAAGAUGAAUCUCGCCCUCGAGAUUCGGGUUGGCUAGAAAAUAGGUGAGGGUGGUCCUUGAGCAAAUCUUCUUCUCUCUCCAAGGUGGCUUCAUCCUCUGAGUGGUGGUUCCACUGAACUUUGCAAAACUUGAUAACCUUGCUGCGGGUAACUCUGCUGGCAUAAUCGAGAAUCUUGACUGGUUUCUCUUCAUACGUGAAGUCGUCCUUCAAGUGAAUCGCUUCUAGCGGCACUGUAUCUCUUAACGGUACCUUCAACUUUGUCCCAUGACAACGGUGUCCUUCACCUCCUUCCGUAUAAAGCUUCGAAAGGUGCCAUCUUCAAACUGGUUUGGUAACUGUUGUUAUAAGAAAACUCCGCAUACGGCAAGUUAUCAUCCCAACUAGAUCCAUAAUCUAGUGCACAAGCUCUCAGCAUAUCUUCCAAAAUCUGAUUGACCCUCUCGGUCUAUCCAUCUGUCUGCGGAUGAAAAGCGGUGCUGAACUCUAGCCUAGUUCCCAAAGUUUCAUGCAACUGAUUCCAAAACUUUGAGGUAAAUUGGGUUCCUCUGUCUGAUACAAUACUCCUUGGAACUCCAUGCAAACAAAUGAUCCUAGUCAUGUAUAUCUUUGCCAACUUAGCACUGGUGUAAGUGGUCUUAGCUGGAAUGAAAUAUGCUACCUUCGUCAAACGAUCAACUACUACCCAUAUCGAGUCAUAUCCUGCUUUCGUCCUGGGUAGUCCUGUGAUAAAAUCCAUGCCUAUCUUAUCCCACUUCCAUUCGGGUAUCGGCAAUGGUUGCAACAAUCCGGCUGGCUUCUGAUGUUCUGCCUUUACUCUAUGACAUACGUCACAAACUGCUACAUAUGCUGCAAUAUCCUUCUUCAUUCCGGUCCACCAGAAUGUUUCCUUUAAAUCCAAAUACAUCUUGGUAUUUCCUGGGUGAAUCGAAUAUGGUGAAUCAUGUGCCUCUUGUAGAAUCAACUUCCUGAUCUCCGGGUCAUUUGGCACAUAAACACGGUCCUCAAACCAUAGGGUAUCGUGCUCAUCCUUACGAAAUCCCUUUUGCUUUUCCUUUGCUCAGUUUCUCCUUUAUGGAAGCAAUCUCCUUGUCAGAUUUCUGAGCUUCUCUGAUUUUAUCCAUCAAUGUUGACUGAAUCUCCAAUGCUGCUACAUAGCCUUUUGGAACUAGUUCUAAACUUAGUUCAUGAAGGUUUUUUGCUAACUCCUUGGGUAUUCCUCCUGUCAUUACCAUAUUCACAUGGCUCUUACGGCUCAAUGCGUCAGCUACAACAUUAGCUUUUCCGGGAUGGUAAUGCAAUCUCAUAUCAUAAUCCUUGAUGAGCUCCAACCAUCUCCUUUGUCUGAGGUUCAACUCCUUCUGAGUGAAAAUGUACUUCAAACUCUUGUGAUCCGUGUACACUUCACAAUGAUUUCCAAUGAGGAAAUGUCUCCAUGUCUUCAAUGCAUGCACUACGGCUGCUAACUCUAAAUCAUGUGUGGCAUAAUUCAACUCAUGAGGCUUCAGUUGUCGUGAAGCAUACGAAACAACUCUUCCUUCCUGCAUAUGCACUGCUCCAAGUCCUCGACGUGAAGCGUCGCAAUACACCUCAUAAUCCUUGGUCUGAUCUGACAAAAUCAACACUGGUGAGGUAACCAAUCGUUCCUUCAACUCCUAGAAACUAGCCUCACACUCCUCGGUCCAUUUGAACUUAGUAUCCUUCUUCAACAACUCCGUCAUAGGCUUCGCAAUCUUUGAAAAUUUAUCAAUGAAUCUUCGGUAGUAUCCUGCGAGUCCAAGAAAACUCCGGAUCUCUCCAACUAUCGUUGGUGCCUCCCAUUCGGUUACGGUCUCAACCUUGGUGGGGUCAACUGCUAUCCCUUCUCCGGAUAUAACAUGUCCAAGAAAUCCUACUUCCUUCAACCAAAACUCACAUUUGCUAAAUUUGGCAUUUAACUGAUGUUCCCUUAGUUUCUCCAAAACCAAAUGCAAAUGUUCCUUAUGCUCCUCUUCAUUCUUCGAAUAAACCAGGAUAUCAUCAAUGAACACUACGACGAACUUAUCCAAAAACUCCAUAAACACUUUGUUCAUCAGGUUCAUAAAAUAGGCAGGUGCGUUAGUCAAUCCAAAUGACAUAACGGUAUACUCAUACAGUCCAUAUCUUGUGGUGAAUGUUGUCUUGGGAAUAUCCGGUUCUCGAAUCUUCAAUUGGUGGUACCCUGAUCGCAAAUCAAUCUUGGAAAACACUUUAGCUCCUUGCAAAUGAUCAAACAGAUCAUUAAUCAUUGGCAGUGGGUACUUGUUCUUGAUGGUUACUUCAUUCAAUCCACGGUAAUCAACAACCAUCCGUAAUGAUCCAUCCUUCUUCUCCACUAGAAGUACGGGUGAUCCCCAAGGCGAAGAACUUGGGCUUAUGUAACCUUUCUCCAAUAACUCCUUAAUCUGAUUCUUAAUUUGUACCAAAUCCUUUGCAGGCAUCCGGUACGGUCUCUUUGAUAUUGGGCCUGUACCUGGCAAUAACUCAAUCAAAAACUCAAUGUCUCUAUCUGGUGGCAUGCCUGGCAAUUCUUCGGGAAAUACAUCAGGAAAAUCCUUUACCACUGGUACUUCCUCCUGCACGACUCCUGUCAGGCAAUUCACUUGUGUCCUAUUUGGCACAUGCCGGGAUACAUACUUGAUCCUUCUUCCUUCUAGUGUUGUAAGCAAAAUUGUCUUACUAGCACAAUCGAUGUUUCCUCCAUACGUCGACAACCAAUCCAUACCGAGGAUUACAUCCAGUCCUUGGGAUUCCAGAAUAAUUAAAUCUGUUGGGAAAACAUGCCUUCCUAUGCUUAAUGGCACUUGAAAGCAUCCGUGACUGGCCAUGUAUUCUGCUCCUGGCGAGCUUACUAGCAUAGGUGUUUGAAGAAUCCUAGUGGGCAGGCUAUAUUUUUCCACAAAUCCCCUUGAUAUAUAUGAAUGUGAUGCACCAGUAUCGAAAAGAACGAGUGCGGUAAAUGACUUAACCAAAAACUUACUGAUUACUGCAUCAGGCUGAUCUUCAACCUCCUCCACGCUAACGUGGUUCACCUGUCCCCUAUUGAAAGGGUUCGGCUUCUUCCCUGAGCUUCCAUUGCCAUUUCCAUUCUGGCCUUCAGGACAUUCAUUGGCAUAAUGUCCGGUCUUGGAACACUUGAAACGGGUGACUUGGCUCAGGUCUCUCUUGGAUGGGGUUGAUGGGGUGGUACGGUUCUGGCCGUUGCUUCCUCCAUUCCCAUUACCAUUCUUGUGGCCAUUGUGGUUGUGCGAACUACCUCCUCCAUGGGUAUGCUGAAACUGAAAUCCCGAUUUAGGGGUAAAACGGGGCUUCUGCUGGGCUCCAGAGUUAUACUUCACCUGUCCAUACUUCCUCUUGUGGUUCUCAAUCUACUGUUGCUUCCCUUCAAUCAUGAUGGCACGAUCUAGCAACUCUUGGUAGUUGUUGAAACUUGGUACCAUCAACUGCAUGCUUAACUCAUCAUUCAAUCCUUCCAGGAACUUCUCCUGCUUAGUUGCAUCUGUAGCAACGUCAUCUGGGGCAUAACGUGCUAACUUGCUGAAGUCGUCAACAUACUGGCCAACUGUCCUUCCUCCUUGGCGUAAGUUGCGAAACUCACGCUUCUUCAUGGCCAUAGCUCCUGCUGAAACAUGUGUAGUGCGGAAAGCUUGCUGAAACUGAUCCCAUGUGACAGUGUCAACUGGGAAGGUGGCUGUGAAAUUCUCCCACCAUGCUGCCGCGGGUCCUUCUAACUGAUGUGCGGCAAACUUCACUUUCUCACCAUCUGUGCAUGCUGCAGUGGUCAACUCCCUUCCUAUCUUGCGGAGCCAAUCGUCUGCUACUAUUGGCUCGAUGCUACUAGAAAAUACCGGAGGAUUUAGCCUAAGGAAAUGGGCUAAGUGGUCAACAGGUGGUGGUGGUGGUGGUGGGUUGUUGUUGUUGUUCUGCUGAUUCUGGACUAACAUCUGCAUCAAUUGAUUCUGCUGCUGGAUCAACUGAGUGAGCUCCGGUGGAAAUCCAGUGUCACGUCUCGGAGGCAUCUGAGGGUUUAGAAAAGAAGAGAUAUAAGAAUAGAAUGAGGUCUAAAGAGAAAACACUACCCCAAUGCACAUGAGCAAAUUCACA
This 18539-nucleotide long non-coding RNA is filed under the name Triticum aestivum (bread wheat). RNAcentral's name for it is "long non-coding RNA (TAES_LNC020060)". The record is from RNAcentral. Lineage: Eukaryota; Viridiplantae; Streptophyta; Magnoliopsida; Poales; Poaceae.